AGUUAAAAUCCCCAGACAAUAAAACUAUGGGAUAGAAAAGCAGGGCCAUAUUUUUCAUAUUGAAACUUAUAACCAAACUUUUAUAUAAACCACAAACCAGAGCACUUCACAACUUUUUACUUUAAACUCUAAUCACAUCAAAAAGGAGAUCUCAAAAUAAGAUAAACUCUCAGCCAUCCGGGCCGUACUCAAGGCCCUUCUCGGGAUUAUCUUCUUCUCCCAAUAAUCUUUCUCCUUAAGUCUCACCUCCGAGUUCUCCUUCUCAGACUCCUCCUCAUCAGCUCCUCAUCGGGGUCCUGAAAUGUUUUCCCCAAACUGGGAUGAGACUACGUCUCAGCGAGUUCUACCCCACUAAGCCCGAUUAGUAAACUAUUAUACUACAGGCUGCCUAAACACGCAUAGGACAGAGGACUUACCUUGGCCUCAGACUCUACCUGCAUAUUAACACAGUUCAAUAGGCACUCAAGCAAUUACAACACAGAUCGAUAUCUCGAUCCAUCGACCUAGUCGAUUUCAUGUCAAUUCGACCAUUCCCCAGUCGUUUCCCUUAUUCAGGUUCAAAUCGUACUCACGACUUCACAAGCAUAGACUACCAAAUUUCUUGGCAACAAAUUACAGUCCCGAAGGACACGACCUAUCUUUAGGUAGCAAAUUACGGCCCAAUGGGCGCGACCUUUAAUGGUGGCAAAUUACGGCCUUAUCAGGCGCGACCCUUAUCAGGUGGCAAAUUACGGCCUUAUCAGGCACGACCCUUAUCGGGUGGCAAAUUACGGCCUUAUCAGGCGCGACCCUUAUCGGGUGGCAAAUUACGGCCUUAACAGGCGCGACCCUUAUCGGGUGGCAAAUUACGGCCUUAUCAGGCGCGACCGACUCCAAAUUCAGUGGCAAAUCUCGGCCCAACUGGCAUAGCCAUACUUCGGCGGCUUCCGAGGUUCAACUCAACCUCUCAUAGUCAAAUUCUAAUUGAAUACCGACAUUGAUCAAUCAAAUCAAUCUUGGGAUGAAUCCCCACAUACUCAUCAACUCACUCAAUUUUCAUACGAUAUUAACAUACCUGAUGGAUCUUAGCCAAGAGUAUAUUCAAAUCACUCUCACAAUUCUACUCACUUUACAACUCAACAAAGCAUUGCAAAUGCUGAAUAACAUACUUGGCCAAUCACCAAUCAAUAAUUCAAUCUCAAUCAAUUCCAACCAAUUUAGGGUAAAUCCCCAAAAUAUCACAAUUUAUUUAUCCAUGCAACGUGGAGCUCAAAUAAAUAAACGGACUAUGCCACGACGAUCAGCACGAGAUUUCGGUCGUCGGCCAUCAAAAUCUUAAUUUCCGAAAAAUAAUUAAUUAAUUUAUUAAUUUCGAAAAUUAAAUAAUUAAUAUUAAAAAAUUCAAUUUAGCUCAAAAUAAAGCCCGAUUAACUAAACGGACUUCACCACGGUCAUCAGCACAAUAUUCCGGUCCCGGGCCAUCUCAGUUGAAUUUUCGGAAAAUAAAUAAUUAUUUAAUUUAAUUCCGAAAAUUAAUAUUUAAAUACUAAAAAAUCCACUUAGGCCCGAAAAGCCUAAUUGGAGCCCACUAAGGGUCGAGAAAAAUCCCGAGGCACUUCCAAUAAUUAGUAGACCACGUCUACUUACUAAUUGCACAAUCAAUUUAUCUAAAUCAUAUCACAAUUGACUAAUAAUUGCUAAUUUAUUCUAAUCUAACAACCUAAACAUAAUUAAUUAAAACUAAACCAACCUUAAGCAUAAUUAGCCAACUAAUCCAAGAUUAGUGAGAUUACUCACCAAAUCGCGCGCAAAUCGGAUCAAUCCGACGGCGGCGACGCGAGUAACGAUUCUUCCCAAAGCACCGCUCGGGUUCGGGGCCCGGAAAUGGCCCAAAACGGGCCCGAACCAGCUGGAAACCCAUUUCGUGGGUUUCUGCCCUUGGCUGGUCGGAGCAGAUCCGGCGGCCAAAACGGCGAGGGAAGGCCGGCGGAGAGCAAGGGGGACGCCGAGGGAGGUCCGGCCGGGCUGGGCGGUGGCCGGAGGUGGCCGGACGGGGGCGGAACAGGGCGGAACCGAGCUGAGCAGAGCUGGAUCGCGCGGGGGAGGAACGCCUGGGCGCGCGCGGACGGCGGGACGGCGGCAGGCGC
Molecule: long non-coding RNA, 2126 nt
Filed under: Eucalyptus grandis
Lineage: Eukaryota; Viridiplantae; Streptophyta; Magnoliopsida; Myrtales; Myrtaceae
Description: long non-coding RNA (EGRA_LNC007577)
Source: RNAcentral